Molecule: ribosomal RNA, 448 nt
Filed under: uncultured bacterium
Lineage: Bacteria
Description: bacterial SSU rRNA
Rfam family: Bacterial small subunit ribosomal RNA
Source: RNAcentral
UAGGGAAUCUUCCGCAAUGGACGAAAGUCUGACGGAGCAACGCCGCGUGAGUGAUGAAGGUUUUCGGAUCGUAAAGCUCUGUUGCCAGGGAAGAACACUAGGAAGAGUAACUGCUUUCUAGUUGACGGUACCUGAGAAGAAAGCCCCGGCUAACUACGUGCCAGCAGCCGCGGUAAUACGUAGGGGGCAAGCGUUGUCCGGAAUUAUUGGGCGUAAAGCGCGCGCAGGCGGUUAAUUAAGUCUGGUGUUUAAGGCUGAGGCUCAACCUCAGUACGCACUGGAAACUGGUUAACUUGAGUACAGAAGAGGAAAGUGGAAUUCCACGUGUAGCGGUGAAAUGCGUAGAGAUGUGGAGGAACACCAGUGGCGAAGGCGACUUUCUGGGCUGUAACUGACGCUGAGGCGCGAAAGCGUGGGGAGCAAACAGGAUUAGAUACCCCCGUAGUCC